GAACUUAAGCAUAUCAAUAAGCGGAGGAAAAGAAACCAACAGGGAUUGCCUCAGUAACGGCGAGUGAAGCGGCAACAGCUCAAAUUUGAAAUCUGGCCGCAAGGUCCGAGUUGUAAUUUGUAGAGGAUGCUUUUGGCGAGGUGCCUUCCGAGUUCCCUGGAACGGGACGCCAUAGAGGGUGAGAGCCCCGUACGGUAGGACCACCAAGCCUCUGUAAAGCUCCUUCGACGAGUCGAGUAGUUUGGGAAUGCUGCUCUAAAUGGGAGGUGUACGUCUUCUAAAGCUAAAUACCGGCCAGAGACCGAUAGCGCACAAGUAGAGUGAUCGAAAGAUGAAAAGCACUUUGAAAAGAGGGUUAAAAAGUACGUGAAAUUGUUGAAAGGGAAGCAUUCAUGACCAGACUUGGGCUUGGUUGAACAUCCGGCGUUCUCGCCGGUGCACUCUGCCAGUCCAGGCCAGCAUCAGUUUGCCCCGGGGGAUAAAGGCGGCGGGAAUGUGGCUCCCUUCGGGGAGUGUUAUAGCCCGUCGUGUAAUGCCCUGGGGCGGACUGAGGAACGCGCUUCGGCACGGAUGCUGGCGUAAUGGUCAUUAAUGACCCGUCUUGAAACACGGACCAAGGAGUCGUCUUCGUAUGCGAGUGUUCGGGUGUCAAACCCCUACGCGUAAUGAAAGUGAACGUAGGUGAGAGCUUCGGCGCAUCACCGACCGAUCCUGAUGUUCUCGGAUGGAUUUGAGUAAGAGCAUACGGGGCCGGACCCGAAA
This 762-nucleotide ribosomal RNA is filed under the name uncultured fungus. RNAcentral's name for it is "eukaryotic LSU rRNA". It matches the Rfam family "Eukaryotic large subunit ribosomal RNA", at positions 30 to 821 of the family's 3401-position model. Lineage: Eukaryota; Fungi. The record is from RNAcentral.